GUUUGACCAGCACUGGAAUUGGAAACUAGGUUUCGAAGAAGUCAAAUCGAAGUACAAUAUUGUAUUUUAAACUGCCUGUUGUUAUUACAUCCCUCACAACGCACGCUCUACUUGAAACUUCCAGUGGAUACCAACUGCACUUAGAAUAAAAAAUGAAACUCCUUGCCUAGCUCUGGGACCUCAUCAGCACAUACUCACCAUGUUUUGGUCACAAAGGCCUUCAUGCUGUUCCCGGAAGUCGCCAAGUUCCAUCCAUCAUUGUUAAUAAUUCCUUUUGCUCGCUCCUCGCACAAGAACUGUUUCUUCUGCUUAGUGCUUUGCCUACUGAUUCCAUCUUGUCAUUUAAGUCUCGGCUCACAUGUCACCUCUGCAAAGAACCCUUGCCUGACCAUACAUCUAAAAUAGCCACAAACACUCUAUAAAGACUUGGCCUUGCUUUAUUUCCUUCUCAGCACUCAUCACUGUCUGAAACAAUGUUUUGGAUUUGUUGCUUAUUAUCAGUCUCCCUUCUCAAGAAUGCAAGCUUUGUGAGAGCAGAGUCGUAAUCUUUUUUAAGGCUGUAUCCCCAAUGCCUGGAUUAUCAACUUCAGGCGAUGGGCCACGCACCAGGAUUCCACCUCUUUCUAGCACCUAUCAGUGUUGCGCACAUCACAGGCCCUCAACAAACAGGAGUUGCAGGUACCUCCCUAGACGCUGCCAUGGCACCCACAGAGUUUUGCUCCUGGUGGCGCCCAAAGGCACUCGCCCCGGCUCCUGCACCGCCCACCUGCGCUCCCCGUCCCACGAGGGGUAGAACGCAGUGGAUUUGAGUGAGUGGAAUUCACCCUGGCUGAAGCUCCUGCCUGGAUCCAGCGCCCGUGCACUCCAGUUCCCGCCCACGAAGGGGUCGGGGAAAUUUCCUGCUUCAUUAACAUAUAACUACUGACCUAAUGUAGGUUUGUUUGCUGUUGUGUUCUGUACGAUAACUUUGAAAAACGAUGUACCCUUCCAACACUUAAAAAUGUUAUCUCUAUAUCUAAAUUUCAAAUAUCUAAAAGUUUUAUACAUUUAAUAGUUGUAAAUGAUAUAAUUCCUGGCAUAUCAUAAAUAUUGACAUUUAAAACUCAUACUACAUUUUAAAAUGUGUCCAGUGGAAUGUGACUAUCAUGAGGA
Molecule: long non-coding RNA, 1152 nt
Filed under: Pan troglodytes (chimpanzee)
Lineage: Eukaryota; Metazoa; Chordata; Mammalia; Primates; Hominidae
Description: long non-coding RNA NONPTRT014170
Source: RNAcentral